AUUGGGAAUGCUUGUUUUGACCUCAAGAGGAUGGCCAUUUCCAAGAAGAAGAAGAUUCACAUUGUUGAUCUGUACAUCUGUCCAACCUGGCUGCCACCCAAUAGCCAGGAUCCUAUGAGAAGUAUACCUACCCAUGCCCAUCAGUUGGAUGCCAUUUUCAUCCCCCUGUGGACUCCUGGCCACUACCAGAUCUGUG
Molecule: long non-coding RNA, 196 nt
Organism: Engraulis encrasicolus (European anchovy)
Lineage: Eukaryota; Metazoa; Chordata; Actinopteri; Clupeiformes; Engraulidae
Exons: 3
Source: RefSeq, a predicted model, not a curated record